UCCCUGGUGGUCUAGUGGCUAGAGUGUGCCACUCUCACUGCCAUGGCCUGGGUUCAUUUCCUGGUCAGGAAA
Ameiurus melas (black bullhead) is the source of this 72-nucleotide non-coding RNA. The record is from the annotation of a GenBank genome assembly. Lineage: Eukaryota; Metazoa; Chordata; Actinopteri; Siluriformes; Ictaluridae.